RNAcentral lists this ribosomal RNA (252 nucleotides) under Staphylococcus epidermidis. RNAcentral's name for it is "partial 23S ribosomal RNA". It matches the Rfam family "Bacterial large subunit ribosomal RNA", at positions 1 to 250 of the family's 2925-position model. The record is from RNAcentral. Lineage: Bacteria; Bacillati; Bacillota; Bacilli; Caryophanales; Staphylococcaceae.
GAUUAAGUUAUUAAGGGCGCACGGUGGAUGCCUUGGCACUAGAAGCCGAUGAAGGACGUUACUAACGACGAUAUGCUUUGGGUAGCUGUAAGUAAGCGUUGAUCCAGAGAUUUCCGAAUGGGGGAACCCAGCAUGAGUUAUGUCAUGUUAUCGACAUGUGAAUUCAUAGCAUGUCAGAAGGCAGACCCGGAGAACUGAAACAUCUUAGUACCCGGAGGAAGAGAAAGAAAAAUCGAUUCCCUGAGUAGCGGC